UCUACGGGAGGCAGCAGUGGGGAAUAUUGCACAAUGGGGGAAACCCUGAUGCAGCGACGCCGCGUGAGCGAUGAAGUAUUUCGGUAUGUAAAGCUCUAUCAGCAGGGAAGAAAAUGACGGUACCUGACUAAUACGCCCCGGCUAACUCCGUGCCAGCAGCCGCGGUACUACGUAGGGGGCAAGCGUUAUCCGGAUUUACUGGGUGUAAAGGGGGCGUAGACGGUCCUGCAAGCCAGAUGUGAAAGCCCGGGGCUCAACCCCGGGACUGCAUUUGGAACUGUAAGGCUAGAGUGUGGGAGAGGCAGGCGGAAUUCCUAGUGUAGCGGUGAAAUGCGUAGAUAUUAGGAGGAACACCAGUGGCGAAGGCGGCCUGCUGGACGAUGACUGACGUUGAGGCUCGAAAGCGUGGGGAGCAAACAGGAUUAGAUACCCGUGUAGUC
This 440-nucleotide ribosomal RNA is filed under the name uncultured bacterium. Its description in RNAcentral is "partial 16S ribosomal RNA". It matches the Rfam family "Bacterial small subunit ribosomal RNA", at positions 338 to 795 of the family's 1533-position model. The record is from RNAcentral.